RNAcentral lists this ribosomal RNA (465 nucleotides) under Vreelandella stevensii. RNAcentral describes it as "partial 16S ribosomal RNA". It matches the Rfam family "Bacterial small subunit ribosomal RNA", at positions 338 to 795 of the family's 1533-position model. The record is from RNAcentral. Lineage: Bacteria; Pseudomonadati; Pseudomonadota; Gammaproteobacteria; Oceanospirillales; Halomonadaceae.
CCUACGGGUGGCAGCAGUGGGGAAUAUUGGACAAUGGGCGAAAGCCUGAUCCAGCCAUGCCGCGUGUGUGAAGAAGGCCUUCGGGUUGUAAAGCACUUUCAGUGGGGAAGAAAGCCUUGGGGCUAAUACCCUCGAGGAAGGACAUCACCCACAGAAGAAGCACCGGCUAACUCCGUGCCAGCAGCCGCGGUAAUACGGAGGGGGCGAGCGUUAAUCGGAAUUACUGGGCGUAAAGCGCGCGUAGGCGGUCUGAUAAGCCGGUUGUGAAAGCCCCGGGCUCAACCUGGGAACGGCAUCCGGAACUGUCAGGCUAGAGUGCAGGAGAGGAAGGUAGAAUUCCCGGUGUAGCGGUGAAAUGCGUAGAGAUCGGGAGGAAUACCAGUGGCGAAGGCGGCCUUCUGGACUGACACUGACGCUGAGGUGCGAAAGCGUGGGUAGCAAACAGGAUUAGAUACCCGUGUAGUC